This 87-nucleotide transfer RNA is filed under the name Archangium sp. RNAcentral describes it as "tRNA-Ser". It matches the Rfam family "tRNA". From Rfam's summary of the family: Transfer RNA (tRNA) molecules are approximately 80 nucleotides in length. Their secondary structure includes four short double-helical elements and three loops (D, anti-codon, and T loops). RNAcentral also lists the same sequence under 1 other name. Lineage: Bacteria; Pseudomonadati; Myxococcota; Myxococcia; Myxococcales; Archangiaceae. The record is from RNAcentral.
GGAACAGUGGCCGAGCGGCUGAAGGCGGCGGUCUUGAAAACCGCAGACGCUGAAAGGCGUUCGUAGGUUCGAAUCCUACCUGUUCCG